Molecule: ribosomal RNA, 567 nt
Filed under: uncultured bacterium
Lineage: Bacteria
Description: bacterial SSU rRNA
Rfam family: Bacterial small subunit ribosomal RNA
Source: RNAcentral
GAUGAACGCUGGCGGUAUGCUUUACACAUGCAAGUCGUACGAGAGUUUUUAACUCAAGUGGCGGACGGGUGAGUAACACGUAAGAAUUUACCUUUAGGAGGGGGACAACAACUGGAAACGGUUGCUAAUACCCCAUAUGCUUUCGAGUGAAACGGUUUUUCCGCCUAAAGAGAAGCUUGCGGCUGAUUAGCUUGUUGGUGAGGUAAGAGCUCACCAAGGCGACGAUCAGUAUCUGGUUUGAGAGGACGAUCAGACACACUGGAACUGAGACACGGUCCAGACUCCUACGGGAGGCAGCAGUGGGGAAUUUUCCGCAAUGGGCGAAAGCCUGACGGAGCAAUACCGCGUGAGGGAUGACGGCCUAUGGGUUGUAAACCUCUUUUUUCAGGGAGGAAUCAAUGACGUGUACCUGAGGAAUAAGCAUCGGCUAACUCCGUGCCAGCAGCCGCGGUAAGACGGAGGAUGCAAGUGUUAUCCGGAAUCACUGGGCGUAAAGCGUCUGUAGGUGGUCCAAUAAGUCAACUGUUAAAUCUUGAGGCUCAACCUCAAAAUCGCAGUCGAAACUAU